This is a long non-coding RNA of Alexandromys fortis (reed vole), 969 nucleotides long. RefSeq lists it as uncharacterized. NCBI's taxonomy places the organism in Eukaryota, Metazoa, Chordata, Mammalia, Rodentia, Cricetidae. The record is from RefSeq and is a predicted model, not a curated record. The transcript has 4 exons.
GCCCUUCUGCGGUUUAACUUUGGCAGCAGCCAGCAGUACCCCAGAAAUGAACUGGUUAACCUGCAAGUCUACACAGGCCAGGCUGCUGGCCCCAGCUCCACGUCAUUUCAUUGGUUGCUUAUAGUUUUCACCACAGCCCAACUGUGAGGGCUGUGGAGAGGAACAUGCUGUUUAGUGGUAUAAAGUGAAGACGCUCUUGAAUCCUGUUCACAACUGUGUGAAAACACCACUGUUUGUGCUUCAAAUGGCCACCACGUGGGCAGCUUCGUGUCUAGGUCCUGAGAACCCUGGUCCUCCCUCACCUGUCGCCCCCGGCUGUUGUGAGAACAAGACUUAUCUGUGUGGAACCCAAGAGAACUGGAGUUAAAGGCUCACUGAUUUUUACUGACUCUUUUGGAAGCCACCUCCACUGACUCCUGCUAACUCUCAGACCCUGAUGCCCCACUCAAGCAGCCCCUUUGAGACAAGGAUCAGUUGUCUCGAUUCCAGCCUAUCCAGCAUGCCUUGCGAACUCAUACCUGGAAGCGCUGCCCCUAAGUAACGAUUCCACCAGGGGCACGGCUGUCCGGCCGUGUUCAGUUUCCCACCAGCCUAAGCCCCAGCGCUACACAGGUUAGCCCUAUACCACCUUGUAAGGUGCAAUCCUCGUUCGCCGGUGGGCAGACAGCAGUAGUGGGACGGACAGGUCUCCCACUAGAAAGCUUCCUCUCAUCAAGUUCAUUUCCAGCUUUAUGGACCUUUCAACCUUCUAGCCAAGACUUAUGGACUAACAUUUCCAAACUGUUCAUACACCUCUUACAGAUCUGGGCUCUGCUCUGAACCGGUAAAGAUGACGUACUCACAUCUCUCAAGCCAGACUUAAAAAAAUAAAAAUUCCAAUUCUACCAAGUACAGAUGUCUUGAAGAAUCCAAGAAGAAUCUGCUGAGGGGGGAGAAAAGGUUAAAAGUCGUACUCUUCCCCGCACGGUG